This 460-nucleotide ribosomal RNA is filed under the name uncultured bacterium. RNAcentral describes it as "partial 16S ribosomal RNA". It matches the Rfam family "Bacterial small subunit ribosomal RNA", at positions 338 to 795 of the family's 1533-position model. The record is from RNAcentral.
CCUACGGGUGGCAGCAGUGAGGAAUAUUGGUCAAUGGACGAGAGGCUGAACCAGCCAAGUAGCGUGAAGGAUGACUGCCCUAUGGGUUGUAAACUUCUUUUAUCAGGGAAUAAAACGAGGCACGUGUGCCUUUUUGCAUGUACUUGAUGAAUAAGCAUCGGCUAACUCCGUGCCAGCAGCCGCGGUAAUACGGAGGAUCCGAGCGUUAUCCGGAUUUAUUGGGUUUAAAGGGUGCGUAGAUGGGUUGUUAAGUCAGUGGUGAAAGUUUGCGGCUCAACCGUAAAAUUGCAGUUGAUACUGGCAGCCUUGAGUACAGUUGAGGUAAGCGGAAUGCGUGGUGUAGCGGUGAAAUGCUUAGAUAUCACGAAGAACCCCGAUUGCGAAGGCAGCUUACUAAAGUGUGACUGACAUUGAUGCUCGAAAGUGUGGGUAUCGAACAGGAUUAGAUACCCGGGUAGUC